RNAcentral lists this long non-coding RNA (376 nucleotides) under Brassica napus (rape). RNAcentral describes it as "long non-coding RNA (BNAP_LNC021838)". The record is from RNAcentral. Lineage: Eukaryota; Viridiplantae; Streptophyta; Magnoliopsida; Brassicales; Brassicaceae.
UUUGUAUGAUUGUUUCGAAACGAUGUAAACCGCUACCAACCGCAAAAACUGCGUUUAUGGGUCGUAGCGGAAAAGCCAGCCGGGUCUUUAGUGAACCUUUAAAUUCACCUCUAUUUUUAUUACCAAUCAAAAUGUCACUUAGAUUAAUAAUAAAAUAGAUUAAUUUUAUUUAAAAAAUCUGAAAUAAUUGAAAAAAAUAAUAACGCUAAUUUUAAUUAUCUUAACGCCAAUAACUAAACCCUAAAUUUUAAAUCUACGCCCUAAACCCUAAAUCUAAACCGUAAACCGUAAACCCUAGCUAAACCCAAACCGUAAACUCUAAACCCAAACCCUAUAUCCUAAACCCAAAUCAUAGACUCUAAACUCAAACCAUAUA